This 460-nucleotide ribosomal RNA is filed under the name uncultured bacterium. Its description in RNAcentral is "partial 16S ribosomal RNA". It matches the Rfam family "Bacterial small subunit ribosomal RNA", at positions 338 to 795 of the family's 1533-position model. The record is from RNAcentral.
CCUACGGGUGGCAGCAGUGAGGAAUAUUGGUCAAUGGACGAGAGUCUGAACCCGCCAAGUAGCGUGAAGGAUGACUGCCCUAUGGGUUGUAAACUUCUUUUAUAUGGGAAUAAAAUGUUCCACGUGUGGGAUUUUGUAUGUACCAUAUGAAUAAGGAUCGGCUAACUCCGUGCCAGCAGCCGCGGUAAUACGGAGGAUCCGAGCGUUAUCCGGAUUUAUUGGGUUUAAAGGGAGCGUAGGUGGAUUGUUAAGUCAGUUGUGAAAGUUUGCGGCUCAACCGUAAAAUUGCAGUUGAAACUGGCAGUCUUGAGUACAGUAGAGGUGGGCGGAAUUCGUGGUGUAGCGGUGAAAUGCUUAGAUAUCACGAAGAACUCCGAUUGCGAAGGCAGUUCACUGGACUGCAACUGACACUGAGGCUCGAAAGUGUGGGUAUCAAACAGGAUUAGAUACCCCAGGAGUC